RNAcentral lists this ribosomal RNA (242 nucleotides) under uncultured bacterium. Its description in RNAcentral is "partial 16S ribosomal RNA". It matches the Rfam family "Bacterial small subunit ribosomal RNA", at positions 333 to 567 of the family's 1533-position model. The record is from RNAcentral.
UGUCACCUACGGGGGGCAGCAGUAGGGAAUCUUCCACAAUGGACGAAAGUCUGAUGGAGCAACGCCGCGUGAGUGAAGAAGGGUUUCGGCUCGUAAAGCUCUGUUGAAGGGGAAAAAGAGCGGAGAGAGGAAAUGGUCUCCGAUUGAUAUUACCCUUCGAGGAAGUCACGGCUAACUACGUGCCAGCAGCCGCGGUAAUACGUAGGUGGCGAGCGUUAUCCGGAAUGAUUUGGCGUUAAGGG